RNAcentral lists this long non-coding RNA (1942 nucleotides) under Marmota monax (woodchuck). Lineage: Eukaryota; Metazoa; Chordata; Mammalia; Rodentia; Sciuridae. The record is from RNAcentral.
GGGCAGGGCGCGGGAGGAAGAUGAGGGAGGAGGCCAGCCCUCUCUCGGCCUCUGCCACUGUGCCACCGGAGUAAGUCACUUCCCCUCUCUGAGCCUCGGCGCCCUCCCCUGUAGGAUAACAACACUAUCACUUUCCUCAGGUGACACUGCAGGGACAAUAGACAUUACUAGGAAGCACCCAGCACAUGGUAGGAGCUUUACAUAGCAGAAAGCAAAGCGCAGCCUCCAGGAUGAUGUCAACGGUGCCUCCUCCCCCACCUAGUCUUGAACCUGCAGGAACCUGACCCCCAGGACCAGGCCCGCGGCCCAGCAUUCCAGGGGAUCCCCCAGCUCAGAGCCCCAGAACCAGCCAGCCCCACAGGCCCCUGUCCCUCCAGCAGUGUCUGUCCCCGUCCCACUGCAGGCGAUUCUGAUCCGAGAGCCACAUCUGGCCACGUCACCUUCCCCUCUGCUGACACGCCACAGGGAAGAGCCCUCUGUGUUCCGAGGCUCCGCUGACCCCCUCUUACCGAGGGGAACUGGUGUUUGAAGCCACUAAGAGACGAGUCUGGGGUCACCAGGUCAGUGAGUGCUGAGCAGAGACGGAACAAGCCAGGAAGGCCAAGCUCUGGAAGCCAAGAUCCAGGUGUCAGUGCCACUCAAUGGGACAACCCCUCCCCCGCUGCGUGCCAUCCCCACCUGUACCUCCUUAAGGGAAUGGCUUUCUUUCAAAGGACGUAAAACCACUCAUUUCCUGUCAACUUGGCCUGACUUCAGCGACACGGUCCAGGAAACCCAGGGUCUGACGUACUAAACGUGUGUCGUCAAAACUCAUCCAAAUAACUACUAACCGUCACAAUGAAGUGCUCCCGUUCCUGGGGGUCCCACAUGCCGCUGAUGGCUGGUGAGCUUCCUCCCGCCCUGGAGGUCAGAGGGAGCCGCCUCCCCAAGUCGUGUUUGAUUGAUACCCACCAAAGCCUCCCAGGUUAUCCCACUCAUCGUGGAGUGAUUGAUGUUAAAAGUACAGCUUCCACGAUCUUCUUGAGACGUCUGAGCAAGCUCAAGGCUGUCGGAGGCAGACAGACGCCCCAGGUACCGUCGGGCGGCAGUUACAUUCCUCGAGAAGAGCUCUGCUCUUCCCUCCUCAGCCUUCCCUCCCAACAGACCCAGCCUCCACUCCUAACAGACCCAGCCUCCCCUCCCAACAGACCCAGCCUCCACUCCUACAGACCCAGCCUCCACUCCUAACAGACUCAGCCUCCCCUCCUAACAGACCCAGCCUCCACUCCUACAGACCCGGCCUCCAUUCCUACAGACCGGGCCUCCACUCCUAACAGACCCAGCCUCCCCUCCUAACAGACUCAGCCUCCACUCCUACAGACCCAGCCUCCAUUCCUACAGACCCGGCCUCCCCUCCUAACAGACUCAGCCUCCACUCCUACAGACCCAGCCUCCACUCCUAACAGACUCAGCCUCCACUCCUACAGACCCAGCCUCCAUUCCUACAGACCCAGCCUCCACUCCUAACAGACCCAGCCUCCCCUCCUAACAGACCCGGCCUCCACUCCUACAGACCCAGCCUCCAUUCCUACAGACCCAGCCUCCCCUCCUAACAGACUCAGCCUCCACUCCUACAGACCCAGCCUCCAUUCCUACAGACCCAGCCUCCCCUCCUAUCAGACCCAGCCUCCCCUCCUAACAGACUCAGCCUCCACUCCUACAGACCCAGCCUCCACUCCUACAGACCCAGCCUCCCCUCCUAACAGACUCAGCCUCCACUCCUACAGACCCAGCCUCCACUCCUAACAGACCCAGCCUCCACUCCUACAGACUCAGCCUCCACUCCUACAGACCCAGCCUCCCCUUCAAACAGACGGAGCCCCCCGGGCAGUGGAGGGUGUUGUGGGGAGGAGACCGGGACCCUCAGAAAAGAGCCGGCUCAUCCCGGCAGGCCCCGCCCCAG